CGUAGGGCGCAAGCGUUGUCCGGAAUUAUUGGGCGUAAAGAGCUCGUAGGCGGCUUGUCACGUCGGGUGUGAAAGCCCGGGGCUUAACCCCGGGUCUGCAUUCGAUACGGGCUAGCUAGAGUGUGGUAGGGGAGAUCGGAAUUCCUGGUGUAGCGGUGAAAUGCGCAGAUAUCAGGAGGAACACCGGUGGCGAAGGCGGAUCUCUGGGCCAUUACUGACGCUGAGGAGCGAAAGCGUGGGGAGCGAACAGGAUUAGAUACCCUGGUAGUCCACGCCGUAAACGGUGGGAACUAGGUGUUGGCGACAUUCCACGUCGUCGGUGCCGCAGCUAACGCAUUAAGUUCCCCGCCUGGGGAGUACGGCCGCAAGGCUA
RNAcentral lists this ribosomal RNA (373 nucleotides) under uncultured organism. RNAcentral's name for it is "bacterial SSU rRNA". It matches the Rfam family "Bacterial small subunit ribosomal RNA", at positions 526 to 896 of the family's 1533-position model. The record is from RNAcentral.